GGGUUUAGGAUAACUCCUCAGACCAA
RNAcentral lists this transfer RNA (26 nucleotides) under Poecilia dominicensis (Tiburon Peninsula limia). RNAcentral's name for it is "Limia dominicensis (Tiburon Peninsula limia) partial tRNA-Trp". The record is from RNAcentral. Lineage: Eukaryota; Metazoa; Chordata; Actinopteri; Cyprinodontiformes; Poeciliidae.